Long non-coding RNA from Xenopus laevis (African clawed frog), 1749 nucleotides. RefSeq lists it as uncharacterized. The record is from RefSeq and is a predicted model, not a curated record. Lineage: Eukaryota; Metazoa; Chordata; Amphibia; Anura; Pipidae. The transcript has 2 exons.
AUGACGCGACUUCCGGAAGUCCUGUGAGGAGAGCUGUCGGGUGCGCGCUGAUCGCCUUUUCGCCUUUUUUCAAAAUGCAUUGAAGAGCAUGGAGGCGACAUUUUUUGGUCAAUUUUAUGCUAAAUCUGAGUCAAACAACUCCAAGUUUCAGGUUUCAAGUUUAAAGCAGCAAACCAGCGUCACUGACACUCUUCAGCGCUGAGCUCUAGUCUUCCCACCACAACAGCACCAGCUGACCCGAAGUCAGAGUCACUGCUCCUCCGGAAGAAGGAAGAAGAUCCAUAAAACGGACUAAAGACGGCACCACAGGACAUCUGCAUUUUGCAUCCGGGACAGCAGAACAGGCAGCAUAAAUCGGAACUUGUCCCGGGAUGUGGAAUGGUUGGGAAGUACUGUAUGCUAAGAGGCCUGGAAAUUUCAAAGCCUAAAUGGAGAAGGGGUGCUCCAUUUGGGUCAAGAAGUUUCCUCUCCCCAAUUUGCCUCUAGGGUCUUGGUACCAGUCAUUUUGUCUUGGCCUGGGGGUUCUGCUAAGAUUUCUGCCUUUGUGGAUUUUGUGGCUGUGGGGGAACUUCUUAGAUGCUGCCUUUGCAGGAAGGCACAAUAUUUCCCUUAUUCCUCCUGUUUGAAUCUUAGCAAUUGAUAGGAGCCCACUUGGGUCUGGGCUGGUUACCCAAAAGUCUAUGCCUAUCCCCAUAUAUAUCAACAAUAUACAUUUUGAAGAAAUAUCGCUCCACAUUUUUGAUGGUUCUUCCUCCUCUCCCUUAAUUCUAGGGUUACCCUGGUUACAAAAUCAUAACCCACGUAUAGAUUGGGUAUCUGGGAAGGUCAUUCAGUGAGGGUCAAAAUGUAUGGGUUCCUCUAUAAACUCCCUUCAGGUGGUUGCAGUAACCUCUUUAGAGGGGUUGCCUUCUGUUUAUGAGGACUUCUCAGAUGUUUUUUCAAAGAAGGCCGCUGAAACGCUACCACCCCAUAGGCAGUAUGACUGCCCCAUUGACUUGGUUCCAGGGUCCACUCCCCCUAGAGGGAGAACAUACCUUCUUUCCUUUCCUGAAGCUCAGGCUAUGAAAUAUUACAUUAAAGAGAACCCGGAGAGAGGUUUUAAUAGACCCUCUAACUCUUCUGCAGGGGCUGGGUUCUUUUUCAUGGGCAAGAAAGAUGGGGGCUUCGCCCAUGUAUUGACUGUCAUGGUCUUAAUUAAGUGAUGGUGAAAAAACGAUUUCCCCUUCCUCUAAUCAUUGAGUUAUUCAAUCAAGUUAACAAUGCCACAAUUUAAACUAAACUUGAUCUUAGAGGUGCGUAAAAUCUCAUUCGUAUUAGGGAAGGGGAUGAGUGGAAAACGGCCUUUAAUACCAGGGAUGGCGGUUACAAAUAUUUGGCCACGACAUUUGGUCUUUGCAAUGACCCUGCAGUUUUUCAGUACUUUGUAAAUUACAUUUUUGCAAAAUUUUGUAGCAUAAAAGUGGAACCUAGGCAGUACCCCUCGACAAAAGGUCCCCAAAAGAUGAAGGCUGAUACAAUGAGUCUAUUGGCUGAUGUACAACAUGAUCUAUUGAGUAUAGAGAAUAUGAGACAGUACUAACAUUUCUAUACCGGAAAAGUAAGUUUUACAAAAAUCCUUUUUGUAUAUUUUUUGUUAUAGUAGUUCCUAAGUACGAUGACCUGCACACCAUGCUAAAUGCCACAUAGUAAACACAAAUGGUUUUGAUAUGUUGUAUAUGUUAAAACAAUAAACUUUGCCUUUAAAAAAAC